AUUGAACGCUGGCGGCAUGCCUUACACAUGCAAGUCGAACGGUAACAGGUCUUCGGAUGCUGACGAGUGGCGAACGGGUGAGUAAUACAUCGGAACGUGCCUAGUAGUGGGGGAUAACUACUCGAAAGAGUGGCUAAUACCGCAUGAGAUCUACGGAUGAAAGCAGGGGAUCGCAAGACCUUGUGCUACUAGAGCGGCCGAUGGCAGAUUAGGUAGUUGGUGGGAUAAAAGCUUACCAAGCCGACGAUCUGUAGCUGGUCUGAGAGGACGAUCGGCCACACUGGGACUGAAACACGGCCCAGACUCCUACGGGAGGCAGCAGUGGGGAAUUUUGGACAAUGGGCGCAAGCCUGAUCCAGCAAUGCCGCGUGCAGGAUGAAGGCCUUCGGGUUGUAAACUGCUUUUGUACGGAACGAAAAGCCCUGGGUUAAUACCCUGGGGUCAUGACGGUGCCGUAAGAAUAAGCACCGGCUAACUACGUGCCAGCCGCCGCCGUAA
RNAcentral lists this ribosomal RNA (498 nucleotides) under uncultured bacterium. RNAcentral's name for it is "partial 16S ribosomal RNA". It matches the Rfam family "Bacterial small subunit ribosomal RNA", at positions 30 to 523 of the family's 1533-position model. The record is from RNAcentral.